RNAcentral lists this ribosomal RNA (398 nucleotides) under uncultured bacterium. Its description in RNAcentral is "bacterial SSU rRNA". It matches the Rfam family "Bacterial small subunit ribosomal RNA", at positions 358 to 773 of the family's 1533-position model. The record is from RNAcentral.
GGAAUAUUGGACAAUGGGGGAAACCCUGAUCCAGCAAUGCCGCGUGAGUGAUGAAGGCCUUAGGGUUGUAAAGCUCUUUCGACGGGGACGAUGAUGACGGUACCCGUAGAAGAAGCCCCGGCUAACUUCGUGCCAGCAGCCGCGGUAAGACGAAGGGGGCUAGCGUUGUUCGGAAUUACUGGGCGUAAAGCGCACGUAGGCGGCUUUUCAAGUCAGAUGUGAAAGCCCCGGGCUUAACCCGGGAACAGCAUUUGAUACUGUCGAGCUUGAGACCGGGAGAGGAUAGCGGAAUUCCCAGUGUAGAGGUGAAAUUCGUAGAUAUUGGGAAGAACACCAGUGGCGAAGGCGGCUAUCUGGACCGGUACUGACGCUGAGGUGCGAAAGCGUGGGGAGCAAAC